UAUCUUAAUGCCUCUCAGAGUAUUUGGUUCCUGUAUCUGUCCUCAGGUGAUCUCUUUGUAGGAGACAACUGGAUAUGUUAUGACUUUGCAUUUACCUGGGAUAGAUGACGUGGAGCCUGACAGAAACAGUUGCCUAGAACGGUGUUUAUCAUAGCAGGUCCCAGGUCGAGACCAGAGCCUAUCCAAGAGACAAGAUGUCCUUUUUUAACUAAGAUAGAAUGACCGGUCAAGACACUUGGACACACGAGGGGACAGAUUCAGAAUACGUCUCUUCUUCAUUUUACAAAUUCCUCCCUCGCUGAACAGAAACUUCCACAACA
Etheostoma spectabile (orangethroat darter) is the source of this 320-nucleotide long non-coding RNA. RefSeq lists it as uncharacterized. The record is from RefSeq and is a predicted model, not a curated record. The transcript is spliced from 3 exons. NCBI's taxonomy places the organism in Eukaryota, Metazoa, Chordata, Actinopteri, Perciformes, Percidae.